Molecule: ribosomal RNA, 460 nt
Filed under: uncultured bacterium
Lineage: Bacteria
Description: partial 16S ribosomal RNA
Rfam family: Bacterial small subunit ribosomal RNA
Source: RNAcentral
CCUACGGGCGGCAGCAGUGAGGAAUAUUGGUCAAUGGACGAGAGUCUGAACCAGCCAAGUAGCGUGAAGGAUGACUGCCCUAUGGGUUGUAAACUUCUUUUAUAAAGGAAUAAAACGAGGCACGUGUGCCUUUUUGCAUGUACUUUAUGAAUAAGGAUCGGCUAACUCCGUGCCAGCAGCCGCGGUAAUACGGAGGAUCCGAGCGUUAUCCGGAUUUAUUGGGUUUAAAGGGAGCGGAGAUGGGUUGUUAAGUCAGUUGUGAAAGUUUGCGGCUCAACCGUAAAAUUGCAAUUGAUACUGGCAGUCGUGAGUACAGUUGAGGUAGGCGGAAUUCGUGGUGUAGCGGUGAAAUGCUUAGAUAUCACGAAGAACCCCGAUUGCGAAGGCAGCUUACUAAACUGUGACUGACAUUGAUGCUCGAAAGUGUGGGUAUCAAACAGGAUUAGAUACCCCGGUAGUC